Molecule: long non-coding RNA, 507 nt
Filed under: Equus asinus (donkey)
Lineage: Eukaryota; Metazoa; Chordata; Mammalia; Perissodactyla; Equidae
Description: lncRNA (ENSEASG00005035604.1)
Source: RNAcentral
GAAAGGGCCCACGGGGGCAUUAAACAAACAAAACCCCGAAGUCCAGAUCCUCAUGAAAUCCAAGUUGUAGGGGGUGGAGACAAAAAGUAAACAACAAACAAGUCCCUGUCAGAUGGUAGAUCACCUCAGACAGCACCUGUUCACUACACUUGAAAUGCAGCCGAACCCUCCAGCUCCUUUCAGCCUGGUCACCCAACAGCUGUCACUCAAACAAUGCCUCUCAGCCACCCCAGGCCUGAUUUGGAUUUGACCUACUGACCUCGAGAUACAGAGUUGUGAAGGUGGGUGCUUUGGGGUUCUCAGCUCCCUUCUCCCUGACAAAAAGGAGAGAGGAUCAAGUUGAUAUUGAGAGAUAAUAGAAGUGUGGUGGUUAAGAGCAUGAACUCCGGAGUCUGAAUGACUGGGUUUGAAUCCAAGCUGUACAACUUAUUGGACGUAUAAAAUUCCAUGGAUGUCAAUUUUCUCACUUCUAAAAUUGGGUUGAUAAUAGCAACCUAUCUGACAAGG